UACGGGGGGGGCAAGCGUUGUUCGGAAUUACUGGGCGUAAAGGGCUCGUAGGCGGCCAACUAAGUCAGACGUGAAAUCCCUCGGCUUAACCGGGGAACUGCGUCUGAUAUUGGAUGGCUUGAGGUUGGGAGAGGGAUGCGGAAUUCCAGGUGUAGCGGUGAAAUGCGUAGAUAUCUGGAGGAACACCGGUGGCGAAGGCGGCAUCCUGGACCAAUUCUGACGCUGAGUGAGCGAAAGCCAGGGGAGCAAACGGG
Molecule: ribosomal RNA, 254 nt
Filed under: uncultured bacterium
Lineage: Bacteria
Description: partial 16S ribosomal RNA
Rfam family: Bacterial small subunit ribosomal RNA
Source: RNAcentral